GUCCAAGUUAAGGUCAUGCUUGUGGGAGUUUUGGAAAUAUAGCAGCAAUCCCUCAUCCAUAAUUCAGUUUAGGCUGAAACAUCAUGUGAUCUUCAGACAAGUCAUGUGGACACAUGGGAGUUGGAGGACAUCAAACGCCAUAACACUGAUUAAAGGACAAAAGCAAUCACACCAGAGACUGGAGGCCCUGCAAUUAACAACACAUCAGUCCACCGCGCGUCCCAUCCAUCUCCCGCGCUAGCCAUUGUGCCGGACAGGCACGCCGAGAGAGAAAUAUGAAUAUGAGGGCGGCGGCGGCAGCAGCAGCGGCUGUGGCGGCGGGAGAAAUAUGGCCGCCGACUGGCGAAGCAGCUGCU
Molecule: long non-coding RNA, 356 nt
Organism: Sardina pilchardus (European sardine)
Lineage: Eukaryota; Metazoa; Chordata; Actinopteri; Clupeiformes; Clupeidae
Exons: 3
Source: RefSeq, a predicted model, not a curated record